GAAGUUUGGGGUUGCUGUUGGUAUAGCAACCUUUAAGUUUGGGGUAGCUUUGCAGUAAGUGAAUAGUAAGUGAAUGUAGUAUAAAAAAAAUAAAAAAAAAAUAAAAAAAACGAAAAGAAAGAAAGAGAAAAGCGAAAAACAAUAAAAGAACAGCUUUUGAAAAAUGCUACAUUCACUAUAGAUAAAAGGAAAAGAGGAAUACAAAACCCAACAGGAAUAAUAGGAAAGAAACGUAGUGAGAGAAUGAUUUCAUGUACUCUGAACCAAAAACCUUUGUUCCAAUUUCAUACCCUACCUAAACCAAAGCC
Molecule: long non-coding RNA, 308 nt
Filed under: Lathyrus oleraceus (garden pea)
Lineage: Eukaryota; Viridiplantae; Streptophyta; Magnoliopsida; Fabales; Fabaceae
Description: Pisum sativum (pea) long non-coding RNA (PSAT_LNC009017)
Source: RNAcentral